Molecule: ribosomal RNA, 96 nt
Filed under: Thermoactinomyces intermedius
Lineage: Bacteria; Bacillati; Bacillota; Bacilli; Caryophanales; Thermoactinomycetaceae
Also listed under: 5 other names
Source: RNAcentral
GGGAUCCACCCGUUCCCAUCCCGAACACGGAAGUUAAGCCCUCCAGCGCCGAUGGUACUUGGGGAUGACCCCUGGGAGAGUAGGUCGUUGCCAGGC